This 338-nucleotide transfer-messenger RNA is filed under the name bovine gut metagenome. It matches the Rfam family "transfer-messenger RNA". From Rfam's summary of the family: Bacterial tmRNA, also known as 10Sa RNA or SsrA, is named for its dual tRNA and mRNA-like properties. The record is from RNAcentral.
GUACUGGUCUCGACAGGGGUUCUGAAGCUGGUGAAGCGAGCCGCACGGGAUGUGUCAAAUUCUAAAAUUAAAUUUAAACGCUAGACGUAAUAAUUUAGCACUUGCAGCCUGAAUAAGGCAGCAGGAUCCGCCUGGAUGCACCCGCACAUUCAGAUACGGAUUCGAAAAUGCGGGAAACGGCUGUGCAUAAGCUUUGCUGCAUAGUACGUAAGAUGAAGCUACUGACACGGCAAGGAUGUCUGCUUUCGCGCCGCAGAGGGAAUGAUAAAUAACAGACUACGCUCGUAGAAGAACAGGGGAUGGAUUUCUGGACACGGGUUCGAUCCCCGUCUGGUCCA